RNAcentral lists this ribosomal RNA (415 nucleotides) under Acrapex sp. ACASG4053. RNAcentral's name for it is "partial 16S large subunit ribosomal RNA". The record is from RNAcentral. Lineage: Eukaryota; Metazoa; Arthropoda; Insecta; Lepidoptera; Noctuidae.
GUAUUUUGACUGUACAAAGGUAGCAUAAUCAUUAGUCAUUUAAUUGAUGACUUGUAUGAAGGAUUGGAUGAGAUAUAAACUGUCUCUUAAUUAAAUAUAGAAUUUAAUUUUUUAAUUAAAAAGUUAAAAUAAUUUAAAAAGACGAGAAGACCCUAUAGAGUUUUAUAGGUAAUUUAAUUAAGAUUAUUUAAUAAAAUAAAAUUAAAAUUAAUUUACUUAUUUUGUUGGGGUGACAGAAAAAUACAAAUAACUUUUUUUAUAAUUAAAACAUUUAUAAGUGAUUAAAUGAUCCAAUAUUAUUGAUUAUAAGAAAAAAUUACCUUAGGGAUAACAGCGUAAUUUUUUUUUUUAGUUCGUAUAAGAAAAAGAGUUUGCGACCUCGAUGUUGGAUUAAGAUAAAAUUUAAAUGCAGAAG